UAUCCCGUCUGCUCUGUGAAGUUAAGCACGCCUCAAGCUCGGG
Molecule: ribosomal RNA, 43 nt
Filed under: Phytophthora infestans T30-4
Lineage: Eukaryota; Oomycota; Peronosporomycetes; Peronosporales; Peronosporaceae
Description: 8S ribosomal RNA
Source: RNAcentral